RNAcentral lists this ribosomal RNA (492 nucleotides) under uncultured bacterium. RNAcentral's name for it is "partial 16S ribosomal RNA". It matches the Rfam family "Bacterial small subunit ribosomal RNA", at positions 29 to 507 of the family's 1533-position model. The record is from RNAcentral.
AGUGAACGCUGGCGGUAGGCCUAACACAUGCAAGUCGAACGGCAGCACAGUAAGAGCUUGCUCUUACGGGUGGCGAGUGGCGGACGGGUGAGGAAUACAUCGGAAUCUACUUUUUCGUGGGGGAUAACGUAGGGAAACUUACGCUAAUACCGCAUACGACCUACGGGUGAAAGCAGGGGAUCUUCGGACCUUGCGCGAUUGAUUGAGCCGAUGUCGGAUUAGCUAGUUGGCGGGGUAAAGGCCCACCAAGGCGACGAUCCGUAGCUGGUCUGAGAGGAUGAUCAGCCACACUGGAACUGAGACACGGUCCAGACUCCUACGGGAGGCAGCAGUGGGGAAUAUUGGACAGUGGGCGCAAGCCUGAUCCAGCCAUACCGCGUGGGUGAAGAAGGCCUUCGGGUUGUAAAGCCCUUUUGUUGGGAAAGAAAAGCAGCAGGUUAAUACCCCGCUGUUCUGACGGUACCCAAAGAAUAAGCACCGGCUAACUUCGUG